GACGAACGCUGGCGGCGCGCUUAACACAUGCAAGUCGAACGGAAAGGCCCUGCUUUUGUGGGGUGCUCGAGUGGCGAAAGGGUGAGGAACACGUGAGUAACCUGCCCUUGACCUUGGGAUAACUUCAGGAAACUGGGGCCAAUACCGGAUAGGAGCUCCUGCUGCGUGGUGGGGGUUGGAAGGUUUGGGCGGUUGGGGAUGGAUUGGCGGGGUAUCGGCUUGUUGGCUGGGUGGUGGCUUACCAAGGGUUUGACCGGUAGGCGGCCUGAGGGGGUGAGCGGCCACAUUGGAACUGAGAUCCGGACCAGGCUCUGGCGGGUGGCAGCAGUGGGGAAGAUUGCAGAAUGGGCGGAGGCCUGAUGCAGCAACGCCGCGUGGGGGAUGACGGCCUUCGGGUUGUAAGCCGCUUUCGCGUGUGACGAAGCGUGAGUGACGGUAGUGGGUAAAGAAGCGCCGGCUAACUACGUG
Molecule: ribosomal RNA, 468 nt
Filed under: uncultured bacterium
Lineage: Bacteria
Description: partial 16S ribosomal RNA
Rfam family: Bacterial small subunit ribosomal RNA
Source: RNAcentral